Molecule: ribosomal RNA, 118 nt
Filed under: Pterocles gutturalis (yellow-throated sandgrouse)
Lineage: Eukaryota; Metazoa; Chordata; Aves; Pterocliformes; Pteroclidae
Source: RNAcentral
ACCAAGAGAUGUGAGACCCUGAGAACACCCAAUCUUGCCUGAUCUCAGAAGCUAAGCAGGGUAAGGCCCAGUUAGUACUUGGAUGGAAGACGACCUGGAAUACCAGGUGCUGUAGGCU